RNAcentral lists this ribosomal RNA (604 nucleotides) under uncultured eukaryote. RNAcentral describes it as "bacterial SSU rRNA". It matches the Rfam family "Eukaryotic small subunit ribosomal RNA", at positions 1303 to 1808 of the family's 1831-position model. The record is from RNAcentral.
GCCAGUAGUCAUAUGCUUGUCUCAAAGAUUAAGCCAUGCAUGUGUAAGCACAAGCCGUAUAUGGUGAAGCCGCGAAUGGCUCAUUACAACAGCCAUAGUUUAUUAGAUCUUAUCCUUUUACAUGGAUAACUGUGGUAAUUCUAGAGCUAAUACACGCAUACUCCGGCCUACUAACUAGAACGUAGAUUUUUUGUCUACGAGACUUCUUAGAGGGACUCGGGGCGUCUAGCCUCACGAAAUGGAGCGAUAACAGGUCUGUAAUGCCCUUAGAUGUCCGGGGCCGCACGCGCGCUACACUGAAGGAAGCAACAAGCUAUACCCUGGUUCGAAAGGACUGGGUAACCUUGUGAAACUCCUUCGUGAUUGGGAUAGGGACUUGCAAUUAUUUCCCUUGAACGAGGAAUUCCUAGUAAGUGUGGGUCAUCAUCUCGCGUUGAUUACGUCCCUGCCCUUUGUACACACCGCCCGUCGCUACUACCGAUUGAAUGAAAUACUGAAAUUGACGGAUUGGUCUUUUGGUGGCUUCGCGGCUGCCAUUGUGACUGAGAAAUCACUUAAAGUGUUUCAUUUAGAGGAAGUAAAAGUCGUAACAAGGUUUCCGUAG